RNAcentral lists this transfer RNA (17 nucleotides) under Lombardochloa rufa var. sparsepilosa. RNAcentral describes it as "Chascolytrum rufum var. sparsipilosum partial tRNA-Phe". RNAcentral also lists the same sequence under 2 other names. Lineage: Eukaryota; Viridiplantae; Streptophyta; Magnoliopsida; Poales; Poaceae. The record is from RNAcentral.
GUCAGGAUAGCUCAGUU